CCUACGGGUGGCAGCAGUGGGGGAUAUUGCGCAAUGGGGGAAACCCUGACGCAGCAACGCCGCGUGAAGGACGAAGGUUUUCGGAUCGUAAACUUCUUUGACCGGGGACGAAGAAAUGACGGUACCCGGGGGACAAGCCACGGCUAACUACGUGCCAGCAGCCGCGGUAAUACGUAGGUGGCGAGCGUUGUCCGGAUUUACUGGGUGUAGAGGGCGCGUAGGCGGGGCGGCAAGUCCGAUGUGAAAUCCCGCGGCUUAACUGCGGAACUGCAUCGGAAACUGCCGUCCUUGAGUAUCAGAGGGGAAAGCGGAAUUCCUAGUGUAGCGGUGAAAUGCGUAGAUAUUAGGAGGAACACCGGUGGCGAAGGCGGCUUUCUGGCUGAAAACUGACGCUGAUGCGCGAAAGCGUGGGGAGCAAACAGGAUUAGAUACCCCGGUAGUC
This 442-nucleotide ribosomal RNA is filed under the name uncultured bacterium. RNAcentral describes it as "bacterial SSU rRNA". It matches the Rfam family "Bacterial small subunit ribosomal RNA", at positions 338 to 795 of the family's 1533-position model. The record is from RNAcentral.